UAGAUUCCAACAGGUUCAGGCCCCUUGUC
This 29-nucleotide non-coding RNA is filed under the name Homo sapiens (human). The record is from RNAcentral. Lineage: Eukaryota; Metazoa; Chordata; Mammalia; Primates; Hominidae.